GUGAAUCAUCGAAUCUUUGAACGCAAAUUGCACUCCCUGGUAUUCCGGGGGGUAUGCCUGUUUGAGGGUCGUUAGAACAAAAAUCGAAGCGGCGCUCGUUUUGUUUAAGGGUGUGCCCGGCGGAAUUGAACCGUCUUUCAAAGGUUAAUUCAUGUCAAAGUGGCUUGAAAUUCAUCCAUCCGGUACGUUUAAAGCGUAUUGAAGAUCAACUUUGGUUAAUAACGCGCGAUGAAC
RNAcentral lists this unclassified non-coding RNA (234 nucleotides) under Funneliformis mosseae. Its description in RNAcentral is "partial contains 5.8S ribosomal RNA and internal transcribed spacer 2". The stretch from base 1 to 71 matches the Rfam family "5.8S ribosomal RNA", at positions 84 to 154 of the family's 154-position model. Lineage: Eukaryota; Fungi; Glomeromycota; Glomeromycetes; Glomerales; Glomeraceae. The record is from RNAcentral.